GUGAUUCUUUGAGAAAUUUAAAUUUUGGGACCAUUGACAUGGAGAAAGUCUGAUCACAUGUUUUCCAUUAGUUGGCUUUAGGUAGAAGGAUUAUGAUAGAAUCCGAUUUGUAGAUAUACUCGGUCAUGCUAAUUGCUUACCUAGUUGGCUUUAGGUAGAAGGAUUAUGAUAGAAUCUGAUUUUCUGUCUGAUCUCAAUCUUCGUAAUCUGGAUUCUCAUUUAAGCUCAUGAUAUCAUUUCAGAGUGAUAUGAACAGAAUUUCAGUCCUUAAAUCUACUGGAGGUUUCAAUCUCACGUUAGUACUUUCUUGAAAUUUUAUUUUUGACAAGCAUAUGAUAUUUUAUUGCUAACCAGCUAUUUUGUCUCCCUGUAUUUAUGUCAUAACUGUCUCCAGCAUGAUAUCUGCAAUGUGUGCUCUUGAUACAUUGCUUAUGAAUAUUGCACCUGUUGUUGCUCCCAAACUAUACCUUGAUUGUAAGAUAAAUAAGUUACUGUUGAUGAAAUU
This 505-nucleotide long non-coding RNA is filed under the name Citrus maxima (pomelo). RNAcentral describes it as "long non-coding RNA (CMAX_LNC000484)". The record is from RNAcentral. Lineage: Eukaryota; Viridiplantae; Streptophyta; Magnoliopsida; Sapindales; Rutaceae.